GCGCCUGUAGCUCAGUGGAUUGAGAGCACUUCGCUUCGGACGAAGGGGUCGGGGGUUCGAAUCCCUCCAGGCGCG
This 75-nucleotide transfer RNA is filed under the name Candidatus Levybacteria bacterium RIFCSPHIGHO2_01_FULL_38_26. RNAcentral's name for it is "tRNA-Arg". It matches the Rfam family "tRNA". From Rfam's summary of the family: Transfer RNA (tRNA) molecules are approximately 80 nucleotides in length. Their secondary structure includes four short double-helical elements and three loops (D, anti-codon, and T loops). Further hydrogen bonds mediate the characteristic L-shaped molecular structure. tRNAs have two regions of fundamental functional importance: the anti-codon, which is responsible for specific mRNA codon recognition, and the 3' end, to which the tRNAs corresponding amino acid is attached (by aminoacyl-tRNA synthetases). tRNAs cope with the degeneracy of the genetic code in two manners: having more than one tRNA (with a specific anti-codon) for a particular amino acid; and 'wobble' base-pairing, i.e. permitting non-standard base-pairing at the 3rd anti-codon position. The record is from RNAcentral. Lineage: Bacteria; Candidatus Levyibacteriota.